UACGGAAGGCAGCAGUGGGGAAUAUUGCACAAUGGGCGCAAGCCUGAUGCAGCCAUGCCGCGUGUAUGAAGAAGGCCUUCGGGUUGUAAAGUACUUUCAGUCGUGAGGAAGGUGUUAAGGUUAAUAACCUUAGCAAUUGACGUUAGCGACAGAAGAAGCACCGGCUAACUCCGUGCCAGCAGCCGCGGUAAUACGGAGGGUGCGAGCGUUAAUCGGAAUUACUGGGCGUAAAGGGCACGCAGGCGGUUAAUUAAGUUGGAUGUGAAAUCCCCGGGCUUAACCUGGGAAUGGCAUUCAAGACUGGUUAGCUAGAGUCUUGUAGAGGGGGUAGAAUUCCAUGUGUAGCGGUGAAAUGCGUAGAGAUGUGGAGGAAUACCGGGUGGCGAAGGCGGCCCCUGGGACAAAGACUGACGCUCAUGUGCGAAAGCGUGGGGAGCAAACGAGGAUUAGAUACC
RNAcentral lists this ribosomal RNA (455 nucleotides) under uncultured bacterium. RNAcentral describes it as "bacterial SSU rRNA". It matches the Rfam family "Bacterial small subunit ribosomal RNA", at positions 340 to 786 of the family's 1533-position model. The record is from RNAcentral.